GCACAACAAGCUGAUGUGCAACUAAUCAAUCGCCUAUCUACUGGGAGUAAUAAUCAAGGUGGAGCAAUUGAAGAAAGGGAAGAUGGAGAUUGUGACGAUCUAGACCUUACUUAAGAACUUUGAAUUGUUGUCCAUGUUCUAGGAAUCUUUUGUUAUCAACGUUUGAAACUUACUCUAACUCUUGAAGUGUUGAAAUGUAAAACUUAUGUGAUAUUGGGUUAAAAUAUUUUUGUUUUAUG
Nicotiana attenuata is the source of this 239-nucleotide long non-coding RNA. RefSeq lists it as uncharacterized. The transcript is spliced from 2 exons. NCBI's taxonomy places the organism in Eukaryota, Viridiplantae, Streptophyta, Magnoliopsida, Solanales, Solanaceae. The record is from RefSeq and is a predicted model, not a curated record.